GCGGGUAUAGCUCAGUUGGUAGAGCACAACGUUGCCAACGUUGCUGUCGCCAGUUCGAGUCUGGUUACCCGCU
RNAcentral lists this transfer RNA (73 nucleotides) under bacterium. Its description in RNAcentral is "tRNA-Gly". It matches the Rfam family "tRNA". Rfam says of the family: Transfer RNA (tRNA) molecules are approximately 80 nucleotides in length. Their secondary structure includes four short double-helical elements and three loops (D, anti-codon, and T loops). Further hydrogen bonds mediate the characteristic L-shaped molecular structure. tRNAs have two regions of fundamental functional importance: the anti-codon, which is responsible for specific mRNA codon recognition, and the 3' end, to which the tRNAs corresponding amino acid is attached (by aminoacyl-tRNA synthetases). tRNAs cope with the degeneracy of the genetic code in two manners: having more than one tRNA (with a specific anti-codon) for a particular amino acid; and 'wobble' base-pairing, i.e. permitting non-standard base-pairing at the 3rd anti-codon position. RNAcentral also lists the same sequence under 3 other names. The record is from RNAcentral.